UGUUCUUGAAUUUUGGCAGUGGGCCUGGUUAUUCCAGCAGGCAAAUGAAAAGCUCCAGCUGUUUUUUUUCAUGUAUUUGUUCCUAUCCCUUCGGUUGUUAAAUGGUGUCAGCAGCUUCUCAGACAUGGCUGCUGCACUUUUGUCAUUUGAAAAGGGGGAAAACAUAACAGCAGCUUCAGGAUCUCCUGGUCCCUUCCCCUCAGCAGCUCCCCUGGCUGCCUCCUGCUCCUCUGCAGCCUGAUGUGGAACAGGAACACGUGCUUGGGCUGCUUUGCACAAAUGAGAUGGAACACCAGAAAAUCCAGGAAGCUUGGCCUGACCCUUUAGGGGGGGUUUGUGGAGCAGAACAACGAGCUGGAGCUUCACAGGGAUUCCAAACCUGAACUCCUCUGCUGGCAGCAGCUCCUGGUUUUAUGUGUGGAGGAGGAAGGAGGUGGGGAUGGAUGGAGUGACAUGAGAAAACUCUG
Long non-coding RNA from Neopelma chrysocephalum (saffron-crested tyrant-manakin), 467 nucleotides. RefSeq lists it as uncharacterized. The transcript is spliced from 4 exons. Lineage: Eukaryota; Metazoa; Chordata; Aves; Passeriformes; Pipridae. The record is from RefSeq and is a predicted model, not a curated record.